RNAcentral lists this ribosomal RNA (807 nucleotides) under Triticum aestivum (bread wheat). RNAcentral's name for it is "partial small subunit ribosomal RNA". Lineage: Eukaryota; Viridiplantae; Streptophyta; Magnoliopsida; Poales; Poaceae. The record is from RNAcentral.
AUGUUGGCUGUCCGCUGUGGCGGCGCCGGCGCCGGCGCCCACCUGACGGCCCAGAGAAUAACUGCAGCUCGGAGUGGAAAUGGCCGCGGGCUUCUUGCCGCGGGCACCGGGGCCAGGGAGCUUACACACAGGGUUUCCUUCUCACCGUGCUCCCAUCCCCACCGGAUCGGUGCUUCAUGGCCGUUGGUAGUGCGUUGCUCCCCUGGUCCUUCUCCUGGCAUAGAGGAUCGGCCCGUCAUUAAAAACAAAAGGGACGAGGCAUGGGAGGCGUUGAAGGCGGAGAUGCUUGACAUGUUCCGCCCUCUGAUGCGCAGCGUAGCUGAGAUUUGUUCGCUCCGCCGCGCAUACGAUCUUGAGGACUAUCAAAUCGGCAUGGUCUUUGGUGCAUUUCUUGGAUGUGUUGGCUGUUACCAACUGUGGAAGACGGCUCCUUCACUCUUUGUUGAUGUCAUGCUCGCCUUCAUGUUCUAUAGACUCAGUGUUGUAUCAUCAGAGUUGCAUAAACGCCGCAAGUCAAACAGCUUGAUAACCCGACUGAAAUUUGGUACCAUACUUAUCAUGGUUUUGAAGGAUAUCAAGAAAAACUAUGUCCUCCUGGAUGCUAUUAGAAUGCCGGUUUUCCUCCUCUACAUCUGUGCAUUCCUAUUUGAUGUUGCUGGUGUGAAGAAGUAUGGAAGGCGUGGUCUGAUUUAUUUUGUUAAUUUGCUGAAAACCAGAGGCGGUAUUCAAGAAAUGUAUAGAAUUAUGUGGUAUCCUGGCUAUAUCUCUCCGUAUGACGAUUCUGAGGACUGGCUACGAGACUCUUAG